GCGCCCUUAGCUCAGUUGGAUAGAGCGUCUGGCUACGAACCAGAAGGUCGGGAGUUCGAAUCUCUCAGGGCGCACCA
RNAcentral lists this transfer RNA (77 nucleotides) under Acidobacteriales bacterium 13_2_20CM_55_8. RNAcentral describes it as "tRNA-Arg". It matches the Rfam family "tRNA". Rfam says of the family: Transfer RNA (tRNA) molecules are approximately 80 nucleotides in length. Their secondary structure includes four short double-helical elements and three loops (D, anti-codon, and T loops). Lineage: Bacteria; Pseudomonadati; Acidobacteriota; Terriglobia; Terriglobales. The record is from RNAcentral. RNAcentral also lists the same sequence under 16 other names.